GAUGAACGCUGGCGGCGUGCCUAAUACAUGCAAGUCGAGCGAACGGACGAGAAGCUUGCUUUUCUGAUGUUAGCGGCGGACGGGUGAGUAACACGUGGAUAACCUACCUAUAAGACUGGGAUAACUUCGGGAAACCGGAGCUAAUACCGGAUAAUAUUUUGAACCGCAUGGUUCAAAAGUGAAAGACGGUCUUGCUGUCACUUAUAGAUGGAUCCGCGCUGCAUUAGCUAGUUGGUAAGGUAACGGCUUACCAAGGCAACGAUGCAUAGCCGACCUGCGAGGGUGAUCGGACACACUGGAACUGAGCCACGCUCCAGACUCCUACGGGAGGCAGCAGUAGGGAAUCUUCCGCAAUGGGCGAAAGCCUGGCGGAGCAACGCCGCGUCAGUGAUGAAGGUCUUGCGAUCGGAAAACUCUGUUACUAGGGGAAAACAUCUGUCUACGUAACUGUGCACAUCUUGACGGUACCUAAUCAGGAAGCCACGGCUAACUACGUG
Molecule: ribosomal RNA, 497 nt
Filed under: uncultured bacterium
Lineage: Bacteria
Description: partial 16S ribosomal RNA
Rfam family: Bacterial small subunit ribosomal RNA
Source: RNAcentral